Molecule: ribosomal RNA, 451 nt
Filed under: uncultured organism
Description: partial 16S ribosomal RNA
Rfam family: Bacterial small subunit ribosomal RNA
Source: RNAcentral
ACGUCACUCCUACGGGAGGCAGCAGUGGGGAAUAUUGGACAAUGGGCGCAAGCCUGAUCCAGCCAUGCCGCGUGAGUGAUGAAGGCCCUAGGGUUGUAAAGCUCUUUCACCGGAGAAGAUAAUGACGGUAUCCGGAGAAGAAGCCCCGGCUAACUUCGUGCCAGCAGCCGCGGUAAUACGAAGGGGGCUAGCGUUGUUCGGAAUUACUGGGCGUAAAGCGCACGUAGGCGGAUCGAUCAGUCAGGGGUGAAAUCCCAGGGCUCAACCCUGGAACUGCCUUUGAUACUGUCGAUCUGGAGUAUGGAAGAGGUGAGUGGAAUUCCGAGUGUAGAGGUGAAAUUCGUAGAUAUUCGGAGGAACACCAGUGGCGAAGGCGGCUCACUGGUCCAUUACUGACGCUGAGGUGCGAAAGCGUGGGGAGCAAACAGGAUUAGAAACCCCAGUAGUCCCA